GAUCCUGGCUCAGGAUGAACGCUAGCUACAGGCUUAACACAUGCAAGUCGAGGGGAAACGACAUCGAAAGCUUGCUUUUGAUGGGCGUCGACCGGCGCACGGGUGAGUAACGCGUAUCCAACCUGCCCACCACUUGGGGAUAACCUUGCGAAAGUAAGACUAAUACCCAACUGACAUCCCACGAAGACAUCUGAAUGGGAGUUAAAGAAUUUGUUCGGUGAUGGAUGGGGAGUGCGUCUGAUUAG
RNAcentral lists this ribosomal RNA (245 nucleotides) under uncultured bacterium. Its description in RNAcentral is "partial 16S ribosomal RNA". It matches the Rfam family "Bacterial small subunit ribosomal RNA", at positions 15 to 244 of the family's 1533-position model. The record is from RNAcentral.